RNAcentral lists this long non-coding RNA (685 nucleotides) under Trifolium pratense (red clover). RNAcentral describes it as "long non-coding RNA (TPRA_LNC009623)". The record is from RNAcentral. Lineage: Eukaryota; Viridiplantae; Streptophyta; Magnoliopsida; Fabales; Fabaceae.
GAGAGGCUAGAGCAUUCCCUUGAAUGCGAGCCACUAUGUAGGUGGAAUUUGAUAAGCCCCUUUAGGCCAUUUCGAAUUUAUUGGAAGAAGAAUAGGUGUAGCGAGAAAAAAGUUUUUAACUAAAAAAAUUGUGAAGUGGGUUAGAUAGCAAACAAUUUUUACAUGUAUUUAUAAUAUAUAAUAAUUUAUUUCUUUUUAGUAAGAUUAAGAAUUUAUAAAGUUUUUUUAUUUAACAUUUUGAAUAUAGAAAAUAGUGUUGACAUGAACAUGAUUUCCAACAUUCACACAUUCAAACAUCGGUGAUCUUUAGUUCAAAUUAAGCUCGGUAUUUCAAGAUUGCGAGAGUAUCCGACCACCAUCAUCUUUUCUACAUGCCAAUCUAAUACAUAAUAUUGAAAGAUUGAUGUAUCCAAAAAAUGAACUCAUUAAAGGGUGUAUCUUACUAUGUGAUCUAAUACAUAAUACUGAACAAAUUUAUUUUUUAAUAGGUAGCAAAAAUUAUGUAUGUCUAAAUAGUGUGACCAAAUGAUUAUGCAAAGGGAUCCGUUUAUGGCAUGAGAAACAAAACAAGUGUCACUAUUGGAUCAAAAUAUCUAAGCUAAGAGAUAAAAGGAGCACUAGUAAAUUUGCAGCUAGCAGCAUCCAGUGAGAAAAAGGACACUUAACGGGAAAUUUCAGGUUUUGA